Molecule: ribosomal RNA, 274 nt
Filed under: uncultured bacterium
Lineage: Bacteria
Description: partial 16S ribosomal RNA
Rfam family: Bacterial small subunit ribosomal RNA
Source: RNAcentral
AUACGGAGGGUCCAAGCGUUAUCCGGAAUCAUUGGGUUUAAAGGGUCCGCAGGCGGUCAAUUAAGUCAGAGGUGAAAGCCCAUCGCUCAACGAUGGAACUGCCUUUGAUACUGGUUGACUUGAGUUAUACGGAAGGAGAUAGAAUAAGUAGUGUAGCGGUGAAAUGCAUAGAUAUUACUUAGAAUACCGAUUGCGAAGGCAGUCUACUACGUAUAUACUGACGCUGAGGGACGAAAGCGUGGGGAGCGAACAGGAUUAGAAACCCUAGUAGUCC